This 483-nucleotide ribosomal RNA is filed under the name uncultured bacterium. Its description in RNAcentral is "partial 16S ribosomal RNA". It matches the Rfam family "Bacterial small subunit ribosomal RNA", at positions 30 to 506 of the family's 1533-position model. The record is from RNAcentral.
AUUGAACGCUGGCGGCAGGCCUAACACAUGCAAGUCGAGCGGAUGAAGGGAGCUUGCUCCUGGAUUCAGCGGCGGACGGGUGAGUAAUGCCUAGGAAUCUGCCUGGUAGUGGGGGAUAACGUCCGGAAACGGGCGCUAAUACCGCAUACGUCCUGAGGGAGCAAGUGGGGGAUCUUCGGACCUCACGCUAUCAGAUGAGCCUAGGUCGGAUUAGCUAGUUGGUGGGGUAAAGGCCUACCUAGGCGACGAUCCGUAACUGGUCUGAGAGGAUGAUCAGUCACACUGGAGCUGAGACACGGUCCAGGCUCCUACGGGAGGCAGCAGUGGGGAAUAGUGGACAAUGGGCGAAAGCCUGAUCCAGCCAUGGCGCGUGUGUGAAGAAGGUCUUCGGAUUGUAAAGCACUUUAAGUUGGGAGGAAGGGCAGUAAGUUAAUACCUUGCUGUUUUGACGUUACCAACAGAAUAAGCACCGGCUAACUUCGU